Molecule: ribosomal RNA, 550 nt
Filed under: uncultured bacterium
Lineage: Bacteria
Description: bacterial SSU rRNA
Rfam family: Bacterial small subunit ribosomal RNA
Source: RNAcentral
UAGGGAAUCUUCGGCAAUGGACGGAAAGUCUGACCGAGCAACGCCGCGUGAGUGAAGAAGGUUUUCGGAUCGUAAAGCUCUGUUGUAAGAGAAGAACGAGUGUGAGAGUGGAAAGUUCACACUGUGACGGUAUCUUUCCAGAAAAGGACGGCUAACUACGUGCCAGCAGCCGCGGUAAUACGUAGGUUCCGAGCGUUGUCCGGAUUUAUUGGGCGUAAANCGAGCGCAGGCGGUUAGAUAAGUCUGAAGUUAAAGGCUGUGGCUUAACCAUAGUACGCUUUGGAAACUGUUUAACUUGAGUGCAAGAGGGGAGAGUGGAAUUCCAUGUGUAGCGGUGAAAUGCGUAGAUAUAUGGAGGAACACCGGUGGCGAAAGCGGCUCUCUGGCUUGUAACUGACGCUGAGGCUCGAAAGCGUGGGGAGCAAACAGGAUUAGAUACCCUGGUAGUCCACGCCGUAAACGAUGAGUGCUAGGUGUUAGACCUUUCCGGGGUUUAGUGCCGCACCUAACGCAUUAAGCACUCCGCCUGGGGAGUACGACCGCAAGGUUG